GUGAUCAGCAUCCAACACAGAUCACUCACCAUGGACUUGUGGCUUAUUUGGCUUAUCCUUGCUGUUAUUUUAAGUGGUGUCCAGUGUGAGGUGCAGCUGGUGGAGUCUGGAGGAGGCUUAGUGCAGCCUGGAAAGUCCCUGAAACUCUCCUGUGCAGCCUCUGGAUUCACUUUCAAUAGUUAUGAAAUGAGCUGGGUCCGCGAGGCUCCCAGGAAGGGGCUGGAGUGGGUUGCAUCCGUUAGCAGUGGUGGUGGUAGCACCUGGUAUACUGACGCUGUGAAGGGCCGGUUCACAAUCUCCAGAGACAAUGCCAAGAACACUCUGUACCUGGAAAUGAGCAGUCUGAAGUCUGAAGACACAGCCAUGUAUUACUGUGCAAGAGACACAGUAAGUGAAUGCUACUGUGAGCCCAGACAAAAACACCCCUGUGGGAAACAGAAGACCAGCAGGGAGCGCUGA
Non-coding RNA from Microtus oregoni (creeping vole), 459 nucleotides. The record is from the annotation of a RefSeq genome assembly. NCBI's taxonomy places the organism in Eukaryota, Metazoa, Chordata, Mammalia, Rodentia, Cricetidae.